AGUCAAUGAUCGAAAGAUUGAUCUAGUUACUUAGAAAGAUGAAAAUUAUGAUAAUUAUGUUCCAUUAAUUUUAAUGGAAAAUAACAUAAAGAAAUAUAAUAAUGAAGAAUAUAAAGUCUUGAUAUAUUAAAAUAAAGAAUAAUGAUGAUUUAAUAUAUUGAUGUCUUAACAAAAAUUAGUGCCAGCAGUUGCGGCUAAACUAAGGAGGCUAACGUUAAUCAUUAAAGGCUUAAAGGAUCCGUAGAAUGAUAUAUACAUAUAUAUAAUAGAGUUAAAUAAUAAGAAUAAUGAAUAAUUAUAAUGAGAGAUGAAAUGUUAUGAUAAUAAUUAGACAAACAACAUUGAAGAUUUUAUUCGUUAUAUUAACUGACAUUGAGGGAUGAAGGCAUGAGUAUCAAAACGGAUUAGAUACCCGAGUAGUUCAUGCAGUAAACUAUGAGUACUAAAUAUAUAAAUAUAAGUGAAAACUAAAGUACUCCGCCAGGUGAGUAUAUUCGCAAGAAUGAAAUCCAAGACAAUAGACGGUUACAGGUGUAGGCAGUGGAUUGUGUUAU
Molecule: ribosomal RNA, 554 nt
Filed under: Ogataea glucozyma
Lineage: Eukaryota; Fungi; Ascomycota; Pichiomycetes; Pichiales; Pichiaceae
Description: partial small subunit ribosomal RNA
Rfam family: Bacterial small subunit ribosomal RNA
Source: RNAcentral